AGAGUUUGAUCCUGGCUCAGAACGAACGCUGGCGGCAGGCUUAACACAUGCAAGUCGAACGCACCGCAAGGUGAGUGGCAAACGGGUGAGUAACACGUGGGAAUUUCCCCUGUAGUUCGGGAUAACCAAGGGAAACUUUGGCUAAUACCGGAUACGCAAGAAAUUGGAAAGAUUUAUCGCUAUAGGAUAAGCCCGCGCAAGAUUAGCUAGUUGGUAGGGUAAUGGCCUACCAAGGCAACGAUCUUUAGCUGGUCUGAGAGGACGACCUGCCACACUGGGACUGAGAUACGGCCCAGACUCCUACGGGAGGCAGCAGUGGGGAAUAUUGGACAAUGGACGCAAGUCUGAUCCAGCCAUGCCGCGUGAGUGAUGAAGGCCUUCGGGUUGUAAAGCUCUUUGAGUGGGGACAAUCAUGAUGGUACCCACAGAACAAGCCACGGCUAACUUCGUGCCAGCAGCCGCGGUAAUACGAAGGUGGCUAGCGUUGUUCGGAAUUACUGGGCGUAAAGCGCGCGUAGGCGGCGAGGCAAGUCGAAAGUGAAAUCCCGGGGCUUAACUCCGGAACUGCUUUCGAAACUACUUCGCUUGAAUGUGACAGAGGAUGAUGGAAUUCCUAGUGUAGAGGUGAAAUUCGUAGAUAUUAGGAGGAACACCAGUGGCGAAGGCGGUCAUCUGGGUCAACAUUGACGCUAAGGCGCGAAAGCGUGGGGAGCAAACAGGAUUAGAUACCCUGGUAGUCC
RNAcentral lists this ribosomal RNA (740 nucleotides) under uncultured bacterium. RNAcentral describes it as "bacterial SSU rRNA". It matches the Rfam family "Bacterial small subunit ribosomal RNA", at positions 8 to 796 of the family's 1533-position model. The record is from RNAcentral.